This 434-nucleotide ribosomal RNA is filed under the name uncultured bacterium. Its description in RNAcentral is "partial 16S ribosomal RNA". It matches the Rfam family "Bacterial small subunit ribosomal RNA", at positions 29 to 507 of the family's 1533-position model. The record is from RNAcentral.
AGCGAACGCUGGCGGCAGGCCUAACACAUGCAAGUCGAACGAACCUUUCGGGGUUAGUGGCGGACGGGUGAGUAACACGUGGGAACGUGCCUUUAGGUUCGGAAUAACUCAGGGAAACUUGUGCUAAUACCGAAUGUGCCCUUCGGGGGAAAGAUUAAUCGCCUUUAGAGCGGCCCGCGUCUGAUUAGCUAGUUGGUUGAGGUAAUGGCUCACCAAGGCGACGAUCAGUAGCUGGUCUGAGAGGAUGAUCAGCCACAUUGGGACUGAGACACGGCCCAAACACAGACGGGAGGCAGCAGUGGGGAAUCUUUCGCAAUGGGCGAAAGCCUGAAGCAUCCAUGCCGCGUGAAUGAUGAAGGUCUUAGGAUUGUAAAAUUCUUUCACCGGGGACGAUAAUGACGGUACCCGGAGAAGAAGCCCCGGCUAACUUCGUG